This 324-nucleotide unclassified non-coding RNA is filed under the name Hevea brasiliensis (rubber tree). The record is from RNAcentral. Lineage: Eukaryota; Viridiplantae; Streptophyta; Magnoliopsida; Malpighiales; Euphorbiaceae.
GGAAAAGAACGGGGUAGUAAUUCUGAUAAGCAAAAAAAUAACAGAAAAUAAAGAAAAAGGACAAUAAAUAAUUGCCUAGUUAUUAACUUCAACAGUGAAUUCAGAAGUCACAACCCCAAGUUCUACUGAAGAGAAUAUAGCCAACAGGCAUUUCAGACACAUCAUAAAAUAUUGUAGUAAUGUUGAGCGUGAUUUUAGCCAUUUCACUACUGAAGCUUGUUAUACAAAGGGGUUGAAAGACUCCAUGAACUUUUCUUGAAGCUCAGAAUGCACCAAUUGUUCACAGAACUGAUUGAUUAUUAAUUACAGAAGAAAAGACAGUCA